GAUGAACGCUGGCGGCGUGCUUAACACAUGCAAGUCGAACGGAAAGGCUCCUGCUUGCAGGGGUACUCGAGUGGCGAACGGGUGAGUAACACGUGGGUGAUCUGCCCUGCACUUCGGGAUAAGCCUGGGAAACUGGGUCUAAUACCGGAUAGGACGAUGGUUUGGAUGCCAUUGUGGAAAGUUUUUCGGUGUGGGAUGAGCUCGCAGCCUACCAGCUUGUUGGUGGGGUAAUGGCCUACCAAGGCGUCGACGGGUAGCCGGCCUGAGAGGGUGUACGGCCACAUUGGGACUGAGAUACGGCCCAGACUCCUACGGGAGGCAGCAGUGGGGAAUAUUGCACAAUGGGCGCAAGCCUGAUGCAGCGACGCCGCGUGGGGGAUGACGGCCUUCGGGUUGUAAACUCCUUUCGCUAGGGACGAAGCGCAAGUGACGGUACCUGGAGAAGAAGCACCGGCUAACUACGUG
RNAcentral lists this ribosomal RNA (465 nucleotides) under uncultured bacterium. Its description in RNAcentral is "partial 16S ribosomal RNA". It matches the Rfam family "Bacterial small subunit ribosomal RNA", at positions 28 to 507 of the family's 1533-position model. The record is from RNAcentral.